Molecule: ribosomal RNA, 439 nt
Filed under: uncultured bacterium
Lineage: Bacteria
Description: partial 16S ribosomal RNA
Rfam family: Bacterial small subunit ribosomal RNA
Source: RNAcentral
CCUACGGGAGACAGCAGUGGGGAAUAUUGCACAAUGGGGGAAACCCUGAUGCAGCGACGCCGCGUGAGUGAGGAAGUAUUUCGGUAUGUAAAGCUCUAUCAGCAGGGAAGAAAAUGACGGUACCUGACUAAGAAGCCCCGGCUAACUACGUGCCAGCAGCCGCGGUAAUACGUAGGGGGCAAGCGUUAUCCGGAUUGAUUGGGUUUAAAGGGUGCGCAGGCGGCCUGUUAAGUCAGCGGUAAAAGCCCGGGGCUCAACCCCGGCGAGCCGUUGAAACUGGCGGGCUGGAGUUGGAGAGAAGGACGCAGAAUGCGCGGUGUAGCGGUGAAAUGCUUAGAUAUCGCGCAGAACCCCGAUUGCGAAGGCAGCGUACCGGCUCCACACUGACGCUGAGACACGAAAGCGUGGGUAGCGAACAGGAUUAGAUACCCCAGUAGUC